UACGUAGGGUGCGAGCGUUGUCCGGAAUUAUUGGGCGUAAAGAGCUCGUAGGCGGCUUGUCGCGUCGGAUGUGAAAGCCCGGGGCUUAACUCCGGGUCUGCAUUCGAUACGGGCAGGCUAGAGUUCGGUAGGGGAGAUCGGAAUUCCUGGUGUAGCGGUGAAAUGCGCAGAUAUCAGGAGGAACACCGGUGGCGAAGGCGGAUCUCUGGAACGCAACUGACGCUGAGACGCGAAAGCGUGGGGAGCAAACAGG
This 253-nucleotide ribosomal RNA is filed under the name uncultured bacterium. RNAcentral describes it as "partial 16S ribosomal RNA". It matches the Rfam family "Bacterial small subunit ribosomal RNA", at positions 524 to 776 of the family's 1533-position model. The record is from RNAcentral.